CACAAAGGCUUGGUCCUGACUUUACUGUCAGCUUUAACUAAACUUACACAUGCAAGUAUCCGCACCCCUGUGAGAAUGCCCCACAGUUCUCCACCCGAGAACAAGGAGCUGGUAUCAGGCACAGUUCAUACUGGCCCACGACACCUUGCUUAGCCACACCCCCAAGGGAAUUCAGCAGUGACAAACAUUAAGCCAUAAGUGAAAACUUGACUUAGUUAAAGCUAAGAGAGCCGGUAAAACUCGUGCCAGCCACCGCGGUUAUACGAGAGGCUCAAGUUGACAGACAACGGCGUAAAGAGUGGUUAAGGCACCCUUUCCUAAAACUAAAGUCGAACGCCUUCAGGGCUGUUAUACGCUCCCGAAGGUAAGAAGCUCCACCACGAAAGUGACUUUAUUUCCCCCGACCCCACGAAAGCUGUGACACAAACUGGGAUUAGAUACCCCACUAUGCUCAGCCGUAAACAUUGAUAGACCAUUACACCCACUAUCCGCCCGGGUACUACGAGCACCAGCUUAAAACCCAAAGGACUUGGCGGUGCUUUAGAUCCACCUAGAGGAGCCUGUUCUAGAACCGAUAAUCCCCGUUAAACCUCACCCUCCCUUGUUCCUUUCCGCCUAUAUACCGCCGUCGUCAGCUUACCCUGUGAAGGAUCAAUAGUAAGCAAAAUUGGUAAAGCCCAAAACGCCAGGUCGAGGUGUAGCGAAUGGGAGGGGAAGAAAUGGGCUACAUUUCCUGACCCAGGAAAUACGGAUAAUGCACUGAAACGUACAUUUGAAGGAGGAUUUAGCAGUAAGUAGAAAGCAGAGUGUUCUACUGAAACCGGCCCUGAAGCGCGCACACACCGCCCGUCACUCUCCCCGACAACUACUAUGACCCAUACCUAAAAAGCCAUACCUAAAAAGGGGAGGCAAGUCGUAACAUGGUAAGUGUACCGGAAGGUGCACUUG
This 948-nucleotide non-coding RNA is filed under the name Microspathodon chrysurus (yellowtail damselfish). RNAcentral's name for it is "partial 12S ribosomal RNA". It matches the Rfam family "Bacterial small subunit ribosomal RNA". Lineage: Eukaryota; Metazoa; Chordata; Actinopteri; Pomacentridae. The record is from RNAcentral.